AGAGCGAACGCUGGCGGCAGGCCUAACACAUGCAAGUCGAGCGCCCGUAGCAAUACGGGGGCGGCAGACGGGAUAGUAACACGUGGGAACGCGCCCUUCGGUUCGGAAUAACUCAGGGAAACUUGAGCUAAUACCGAAUACGCCCUUACGGGGAAAGAUUUAUUGCCGAAGGAACGGCCCGCGUCCGAUUAGCUAGUUGGUGAGGUAAUGGCUCACCAAGGCUACGAUCGGUAGCUGGUCUGAGAGGAUGACCAGCAUCACUGGGACUGAGACACGGCCCAGACUCCUACGGGAGGCAGCAGUGGGGAAUAUUGGACAAUGGGCGCAAGCCUGAUCCAGCCAUGCCGCGUGGAUGAUGAAGGCCUUAGGGUUGUAAAGUCCUUUUAACGGGGAAGAUAAUGACGGUACCGUAGAAUAAGCCCCGGCUAACUUCGUGCCAGCAGCCGC
Molecule: ribosomal RNA, 447 nt
Filed under: uncultured bacterium
Lineage: Bacteria
Description: SSU rRNA
Rfam family: Bacterial small subunit ribosomal RNA
Source: RNAcentral